GAUGAAGAACGUAGCGAAAUGCGUUAAGUAAUGUGAAUUGCAGAAUUCAGUGAAUCAUCGAAUCUUUGAACGCACAUUGCGCCCCCUGGUAUUCCGGGGGGCAUGCCUGUCCGAGCGUCAUUACAACCCUCAAGCUCAGCUUGGUGUUGGGCCCCGCCGCCCCGGCGGGCCCUAAAGUCAGUGGCGGUGCCGUCCGGCUCCGAGCGUAGUAAUUCUUCUCGCUCUGGAGGUCCGGUCGUGUGCUCGCCAGCAACCCCCAAUUUUUUUCAGGUUGACCUCGGAUCAGGUAGGGAUACCCGCUGAACUUAAGCAUAUCAAUAAGCGGAGGA
Molecule: unclassified non-coding RNA, 329 nt
Filed under: soil metagenome
Description: partial contains 5.8S ribosomal RNA, internal transcribed spacer 2, and large subunit ribosomal RNA
Rfam family: 5.8S ribosomal RNA (bases 1-120)
Source: RNAcentral